This 472-nucleotide ribosomal RNA is filed under the name uncultured bacterium. Its description in RNAcentral is "bacterial SSU rRNA". It matches the Rfam family "Bacterial small subunit ribosomal RNA", at positions 30 to 506 of the family's 1533-position model. The record is from RNAcentral.
UUGAACGCUGGCGGUAUGCUUAACACAUGCAAGUCGAACGGGGGUAGUAAUACCCUAGUGGCGGACGGGUGAGUAAUACAUCGGAACGUACCCUGAAGUGGGGGAUAACGUAGCGAAAGUUACGCUAAUACCGCAUAUUCUAUGAGUAGGAAAGCAGGGGAUCGCAAGACCUUGCGCUUUAGGAGCGGCCGAUGUCGGAUUAGCUAGUUGGUGAGGUAAAGGCUCACCAAGGCGACGAUCCGUAGCGGGUCUGAGAGGAUGAUCCGCCACACUGGGACUGAGACACGGCCCAGACUCCUACGGGAGGCAGCAGUGGGGAAUUUUGGACAAUGGGCGCAAGCCUGAUCCAGCCAUGCCGCGUGAGUGAAGAAGGCCUUCGGGUUGUAAAGCUCUUUCGGCGGGGAAGAAAUCGCACUGGUUAAUACCUGGUGUGGAUGACGGUACCCGAAUAAGAAGCACCGGCUAACUACGU